ACGCUUAACACAUGACAAGUCGAACGGAGUUGUAUUAGCUGCUAAUAUAACUUAGGUGGCGGACGGGUGAAGUAACACGUGAGACCAACCUCGCCUUCGGAGAGGUGGAAUAAUGUCUGGAAACGGACACUAAUACCGCAUGACAUAACCGGACCGCAUGAUCUGGUUAUCAAAGAUUUAUCGCUCGAAGAUGGGCUCGCGUCCGAUUAGCUGGUUGGUGAGGUAACGGCUCACCAAGGCGACGAUCGGUAGCCGUACUGAGAGGUAGAACGGCCACAUUGGGACUGAGACACGGCCCAGACUCCUACGGGAGGCAGCAGUGGGGAAUAUUGCACAAUGGAGGAAACUCUGAUGCCAGCGAUGCCGCGUGAGGGAAGAAGGCAUUUUUGUUGUAAACCUCUGUUAUCAGGGACGAUAAUGACGGUACCUGAGGAGGAAGCUCCGGCUAACUACGUGCCAGCCGCCGC
RNAcentral lists this ribosomal RNA (467 nucleotides) under uncultured bacterium. RNAcentral's name for it is "bacterial SSU rRNA". It matches the Rfam family "Bacterial small subunit ribosomal RNA", at positions 44 to 518 of the family's 1533-position model. The record is from RNAcentral.